GCGCGGGUAGCUCAGUGGUAGAGCGUUCGAUUGCAGCUCGAAGGGUCACUGGCUCAAUCCCGGUCCCGCGCU
Molecule: transfer RNA, 72 nt
Filed under: Phytophthora infestans (potato late blight agent)
Lineage: Eukaryota; Oomycota; Peronosporomycetes; Peronosporales; Peronosporaceae
Also listed under: 1 other name
Description: tRNA-Cys
Rfam family: tRNA
About the family: Transfer RNA (tRNA) molecules are approximately 80 nucleotides in length. Their secondary structure includes four short double-helical elements and three loops (D, anti-codon, and T loops). Further hydrogen bonds mediate the characteristic L-shaped molecular structure. tRNAs have two regions of fundamental functional importance: the anti-codon, which is responsible for specific mRNA codon recognition, and the 3' end, to which the tRNAs corresponding amino acid is attached (by aminoacyl-tRNA synthetases). tRNAs cope with the degeneracy of the genetic code in two manners: having more than one tRNA (with a specific anti-codon) for a particular amino acid; and 'wobble' base-pairing, i.e. permitting non-standard base-pairing at the 3rd anti-codon position.
Source: RNAcentral